RNAcentral lists this ribosomal RNA (486 nucleotides) under uncultured bacterium. RNAcentral's name for it is "bacterial SSU rRNA". It matches the Rfam family "Bacterial small subunit ribosomal RNA", at positions 27 to 507 of the family's 1533-position model. The record is from RNAcentral.
GGACGAACGCUGGCGGCGUGCCUAACACAUGCAAGUCGAACGGAGUUAAUUAUUUAGAUCCCUUCGGGGUGAUGAAUUUUUAACUUAGUGGCGGACGGGUGAGUAACGCGUGAGCAACCUGCCUUACAGAGGGGGACAACAGUUGGAAACGACUGCUAAUACCGCAUAACAUAUCUUUACCGCAUGGUAGAGAUAUCAAAGGAGCAAUCCGCUGUAAGAUGGGCUCGCGUCCGAUUAGGUAGUUGGUGGGGUAACGGCCUACCAAGCCGACGAUCGGUAGCCGGACUGAGAGGUUGAUCGGCCACAUUGGGACUGAGACACGGCCCAGACUCCUACGGGAGGCAGCAGUGGGGGAUAUUGCACAAUGGAGGAAACUCUGAUGCAGCAACGCCGCGUGAGGGAAGAAGGUCUUCGGAUUGUAAACCUCUGUUUUUAGUGAAGAAACAAAUGACGGUAGCUAAAGAGGAAGCCACGGCUAACUACGUG